CCCUUAGAUGCUCUGGGCCGCACGCGCGCUACACUGGUCGAUGCAACGAGUUUCUUUCCUUGGCCGACAGGCCUGGGCAAUCUUUGAACAUCGAUCGUGAUCGGGAUAGAUUCUUGUAAUUUUUGAUCUUAAACGAGGAAUUCCUAGUAAACGCAAGUCAUCAGCUUGCAUUGAUUACGUCCCUGCCCUUUGUACACACCGCCCGUCGCACCUACCGAUUGAAUGGUCCGGUGAAAUCUCCGGACUGGCGUGAGUCGGAGCAAUCUGACAAACGCCGGAAAGUUGGUUAAACCUUACCAUUUAGAGGAAGGUGAAGUCGUAACA
This 324-nucleotide ribosomal RNA is filed under the name uncultured eukaryote. Its description in RNAcentral is "partial 18S ribosomal RNA". It matches the Rfam family "Eukaryotic small subunit ribosomal RNA", at positions 1470 to 1796 of the family's 1831-position model. The record is from RNAcentral.